RNAcentral lists this transfer RNA (65 nucleotides) under Dipodomys ordii (Ord's kangaroo rat). It matches the Rfam family "tRNA". Rfam says of the family: Transfer RNA (tRNA) molecules are approximately 80 nucleotides in length. The record is from Rfam by way of RNAcentral. Lineage: Eukaryota; Metazoa; Chordata; Mammalia; Rodentia; Heteromyidae.
GGUGGCUCAGUGGUAGAGCGCUUGCUUUGCAAGCAUGAGGCCCUGGGUUUGAUUCCUCAGUACCA